UACGUAGGGUGCGAGCGUUAAUCGGAAUUACUGGGCGUAAAGCGAGCGCAGACGGUUACUUAAGCAGGAUGUGAAAUCCCCGGGCUUAACCUGGGAACUGCGUUCUGAACUGGGUAGCUAGAGUAUGUCAGAGGGGGGUAGAAUUCCACGUGUAGCAGUGAAAUGCGUAGAGAUGUGGAGGAAUACCGAUGGCGAAGGCAGCCCCCUGGGAUGAUACUGACGUUCAUGCUCGAAAGCGUGGGUAGCAAACAGG
Molecule: ribosomal RNA, 253 nt
Filed under: uncultured bacterium
Lineage: Bacteria
Description: partial 16S ribosomal RNA
Rfam family: Bacterial small subunit ribosomal RNA
Source: RNAcentral